Molecule: ribosomal RNA, 445 nt
Filed under: uncultured bacterium
Lineage: Bacteria
Description: partial 16S ribosomal RNA
Rfam family: Bacterial small subunit ribosomal RNA
Source: RNAcentral
GUGAGGAAUAUUGGACAAUGGGCGCAAGCCUGAUCCAGCCAUGCCGCGUGCAGGAAGACGCAUCUAUGGUGUGUAAACUGCUUUUGUACGGGAAGAAACACUCCCUCGUGAGGGAGCUUGACGGUACCGUAAGAAUAAGGAUCGGCUAACUCCGUGCCAGCAGCCGCGGUAAUACGGAGGAUCCAAGCGUUAUCCGGAAUCAUUGGGUUUAAAGGGUCCGUAGGCGGUUUAAUAAGUCAGUGAUGAAAGCCCAUCGCUCAACGAUGGAACGGCCAUUGAUACUGUUAGACUUGAAUUACAAGGAAGUAACUAGAAUAUGUAGUGUAGCGGUGAAAUGCUUAGAUAUUACAUGGAAUACCAAUUGCGAAGGCAGGUUACUACUUGUGGAUUGACGCUGAUGGACGAAAGCGUGGGGAGCGAACAGGAUUAGAAACCCGGGUAGUCC